Molecule: ribosomal RNA, 459 nt
Filed under: uncultured bacterium
Lineage: Bacteria
Description: partial 16S ribosomal RNA
Rfam family: Bacterial small subunit ribosomal RNA
Source: RNAcentral
CCUACGGGAUGCAGCAGUGAGGAAUAGUGGUCAAUGGUCGGGAGACUGAACCAGCCAAGCCGCGUGAGGGAUGAAGGUACAGAGUAUCGUAAACCUCUUUUGUCAGGGCACAAAGGCGGGGACGUGUCCCCGGAUGAGUGUAGCUGAAGAAAAAGCAUCGGAUAACUCCGUGCCAGCAGCCGCGGUAAUACGGAGGAUGCGAGUGUUACCGGGAUUUCUUGGGUUAAAAGGGUGCGCAGGCGGUCUGUUAAGCCAGCGGUCAAAGCCCGGGGUUACACCCCGGCCCGCCGUUGAAAAUGGCAGUAUCGAGUUGGAGAGAAGUAUGCGGAAUGCGCGGUGUAGCGGUGAAAUGCAUAGAGAUCGCGCAGAACUCCGAUUGCGAAGGCAGCAUGCCGGCUCCACACUGACGCUGAGGCACGAAAGCGUGGGUAUCGAACAGGAUUAGAUACCCUAGUAGUC